GCGCCCAUGGCCGAAUGGUUAUCGUGUUUGCCUCCCACGCAAAAAGCCGAGGUUCGAUGCCUAGUAGCGCA
This 71-nucleotide transfer RNA is filed under the name Ixodes scapularis (black-legged tick). It matches the Rfam family "tRNA". From Rfam's summary of the family: Transfer RNA (tRNA) molecules are approximately 80 nucleotides in length. Their secondary structure includes four short double-helical elements and three loops (D, anti-codon, and T loops). Lineage: Eukaryota; Metazoa; Arthropoda; Arachnida; Ixodida; Ixodidae. The record is from Rfam by way of RNAcentral.